UGGGGAAUAUUGGACAAUGGGGGGAACCCUGAUCCAGCCAUGCCGCGUGUGUGAAGAAGGCCUUAUGGUUGUAAAGCACUUUAAGCAAGGAGGAGGGUACUGGUAUUAAUACUACCAGCUACUGGACGUUACUCGCAGAAUAAGCACCGGCUAACUCUGUGCCAGCAGCCGCGGUAAUACAGAGGGUGCGAGCGUUAAUCGGAUUUACUGGGCGUAAAGCGUGCGUAGGCGGCUAAUUGAGUCGGAUGUGAAAUCCCCGAGCUUAACUUGGGAAUUGCAUUCGAUACUGGUUAGCUAGAGUGUGGGAGAGGAUGGUAGAAUUCCAGGUGUAGCGGUGAAAUGCGUAGAGAUCUGGAGGAAUACCGAUGGCGAAGGCAGCCAUCUGGCCUAACACUGACGCUGAGGUACGAAAGCAUGGGGAGCAAACAGG
This 430-nucleotide ribosomal RNA is filed under the name Pseudomonadota bacterium. RNAcentral's name for it is "Proteobacteria bacterium partial 16S ribosomal RNA". It matches the Rfam family "Bacterial small subunit ribosomal RNA", at positions 355 to 776 of the family's 1533-position model. Lineage: Bacteria; Pseudomonadati; Pseudomonadota. The record is from RNAcentral.